This 1136-nucleotide ribosomal RNA is filed under the name Enterococcus sp. RNAcentral's name for it is "bacterial SSU rRNA". It matches the Rfam family "Bacterial small subunit ribosomal RNA", at positions 341 to 1469 of the family's 1533-position model. The record is from RNAcentral. Lineage: Bacteria; Bacillati; Bacillota; Bacilli; Lactobacillales; Enterococcaceae.
UCGGGACGCAGCCAGUAGGAAGUCUCAGCAUGACGAAAGUCUGGCCGGAGCAACCCUGCUGUGAAUGAAGAAGGUUUCGGAUCGUACAACUCUGUUGUUGAAGAAGAACAGGAUGAGAGUAGAUGUUCAUCACUUGAUCGGAUAUCUAACCAGAAAGCCACGUCUAAACUACGUCCUCUGCAGCCUCGGUAAUACUUAGAUGGCAAGCGUUGUCCGAGAUUUAUUGGGAUAAGGCGAGCGCAGGCGGUUUCUUAAGUCUGAUGUGAAAGCCCCCGGCUCAACCGGAGAAGAGUCAUUGGAAACUGGGAGACUUGAGUGCAAAAGAGGAGAGUGGAAUUCCAUGUGUAGCGGUGAAAUGCGUAGAUAUAUGGAGGAACACCAGUGGCGAAGGCGGCUCUCUGGUCUGUAACUGACGCUGAGGCUCGAAAGCGUGGGGAGCGAACAGGAUUAGAUACCUUGGUAGUCCACGCCGUAAACGAUGAGUGCUAAGUGUUGGAGGGUUUCCGCCCUUCAGUGCUGCAGCAAACGCAUUAAGCACUCCGCCUGGGGAGUACGACCGCAAGGUUGAAACUCAAAGGAAUUGACGGGGGCCCGCCCAAGCGGUGGAGCAUGUGGUUUAAUUGGAAGCAACGGGAAGACCCUUACCAGGUCUUGACAUCCUUUGACCACUCUAGAGAUAGAGCUUCCCCUUCGGGGGCAAAGUGACAGGUGGUGCAUGGUGGUCGUCAGCUCGUGUCGUGAGAUGUUGGGUUAAGUCCCGCAACGAGCGCAACCCUUAUUGUUAGUUGCCAUCAUUUAGUUGGGCACUCUAGCGAGACUGCCGGUGACAAACCGGAGGAAGGUGGGGAUGACGUCAAAUCAUCAUCCCCCUUAUGCCUUGGGCUACACACGUGCUCCAAUGGGAAGUACAACGAGUUGCGAAGUCGGGAGGGUAAGCUAAUUUCUUAAAGCUUCUUUCAGUUCGGAUUGUAGGCUGCAACUCGCCUACAUGAAGCCGGAAUCGUUAGUAAUCGCGGAUCAGCACGCCGCGGUGAAUACGUUCCCGGCCCUUGUACACCCCGCCCGUCACACCACGAGAGUUUGUACCACCGGAAGUCGGUGAGGUACCCUUUGGAGCCAGCCGCGAAGGGGAAGGG